Molecule: ribosomal RNA, 514 nt
Filed under: uncultured bacterium
Lineage: Bacteria
Description: bacterial SSU rRNA
Rfam family: Bacterial small subunit ribosomal RNA
Source: RNAcentral
GAGUUUGAUCCUGGCUCAGAUUGAACGCUGGCGGCAGGCCUAACACAUGCAAGUCGAGCGGUAGAGAGAAGCUUGCUUCUCUUGAGAGCGGCGGACGGGUGAGUAAUGCCUAGGAAUCCGCCUGGUAGUGGGGGAUAACGCUCGGAAACGGACGCUAAUACCGCAUACGUCCUACGGGAGAAAGCAGGGGACCUUCGGGCCUUGCGCUAUCAGAUGAGCCUAGGUCGGAUUAGCUAGUUGGUGAGGUAAUGGCUCACCAAGGCGACGAUCCGUAACUGGUCUGAGAGGAUGAUCAGUCACACUGGAACUGAGACACGGUCCAGACUCCUACGGGAGGCAGCAGUGGGGAAUAUUGGACAAUGGGCGAAAGCCUGAUCCAGCCAUGCCGCGUGUGUGAAGAAGGUCUUCGGAUUGUAAAGCACUUUAAGUUGGGAGGAAGGGCAGUAAAUUAAUACUUUGCUGUUUUGACGUUACCGACAGAAUAAGACACCGGCUAACUCUGUGCCAGCAGCCG